UGUAGGGCCACUUUUUUGCCCACGACAAUAAAGACUUGAACGUGAAUAGUAGUUUGGGACGUGGUUUAACGUAGACAGUUUAACGUGGUUAACGUAGAGGGACAGUGCUUAUCAGAUCUGCGCUGUGGUUAGGUCAGGAAUAAACGGGAACUCCUGCACCGCCUGUCGGUGUUUGUAUAAAUGGCUUGCGUGCGCUUAGAAACGCGGAUAGUAGCGUGCGCGUAAUGGACAUCAGUGAAACUCGGAACGUCCAAAGAAGGGAGGAAGGGAUUGUGUAGGCUCUCCGAAUAAAACCAUUUUAAUUAGGCACACUGGAGGGAAACUAUAAGGUGUAGCUACAAAAGUUCAGUGACUCAAAGUCACUUACCGAACCGAACGUUAUGCAGUUACAGUGCCAUUAAAGUGAUUGGAAGGUUUUAAAGUCAAGGUGUGUUAAUCCAGUCUGGCAACACAAAGAUGUCAUUAGUCAGUCCUGGAUAUACCCUUUUUGUAAUACACCCAUUGCGUCAUCUUAAACAGCGGCUAAAUUUGACAAUAAGCGGUGUUUUUGAAAGAAUUUGGGUUAUUUGAAUUAUUGGAUUGGGAAACUAUUGGAGGUAGUAAGGUGGGUUGUGACCCCUCAAACAAUUCUGCACGUAAUACGAGGACCAUUGGGUGGGUUGCUUGUCUGCCCAGGAGAUUUGGGGAUUGUGCCGUUCUAGCCAGGGUAGUCCGAGUAUGACGUCUGGUGGAGACCGUGAGGUAAAGGACCAGAGUUUCGUGGUGGAGGGCGCUAACUUGAAGGCAGACUGGGUGUGUGCUGUGAGAUAUUAUGCCUCCCCUAUAGGUAACCCGUCUAUGGAUUGGAGAUCACGAGGACGGAGUAGGGGACGUAUGGGGAGGCCGAGCUCCUGCGCCGUCUUCUCAUCUAUGAAGUUCUCCGCUGCUCCGGAGUCGACGAGCGCUGAAAGAACAAAAGAACAGCCUGAAUGUUCUAUCACGACUGCAACCACACAACAUUCUCCAGAGGAGGCUGCUGGAGGCCACCUUAUCACGGAUCAGAUCGAACAACCGCAACAUGAAACCAGCACGCAGUUAUACGGUUCAAAGCCCCAGCAUACACAGUGACAUUCAAGUGGCUGAGACUGACCUCAUUCAAGUCAUGUGUCAGCUUUAAGGAAAAGUUCAUCAGCAACAAAAAUGAGGAACAUUUAGGGCCACUCCAGCACAACCUCCAAACUAUAGGACACAUCAAGCUGAGUUUGGUCAUCGGGCAAACAGAAACGGAUCUUUUAUUUACUGUUGUGAGUAAGUGCAUGAUAACACUGUUUUUAAGUGUUGCUAAGAUUCAAGUGAUUAAGCUCAAUGAGUAAAUUAUGUGUAUUGUUCGUUGCAGAAAACAGUAAAAAGUUUAUAAUGUUAGGCACAAAGACACUCAAGUUUCUGAGGUAAACUCCACCCCUACCCCCCCCCCCCCCCCCCCACACACACACACACACACACUCUCUCUCUCUCUCUCUCUCUCUCUCUCUCUCUCUCUCUCUCGCUCUGUUAAACCUUGGCAAUACAAGAGAACAUGUUCACAACAAGUUUGAGGAUAUUUGAAAUGCAUUAUGAGAUAUGUCCCCUUUUACAGUGUGUUAUUGACACUGAAAAGCAUAUGCUUGUUCUUGGAAAUUCUGUAUGGGAGCAAGUCCAUUUUGUUGGAAAACAUGAAAAUGAAGGUUAGAAUAAUUUG
Molecule: long non-coding RNA, 1717 nt
Organism: Ictalurus punctatus (channel catfish)
Lineage: Eukaryota; Metazoa; Chordata; Actinopteri; Siluriformes; Ictaluridae
Source: Ensembl